This 441-nucleotide ribosomal RNA is filed under the name uncultured bacterium. RNAcentral describes it as "partial 16S ribosomal RNA". It matches the Rfam family "Bacterial small subunit ribosomal RNA", at positions 338 to 795 of the family's 1533-position model. The record is from RNAcentral.
CCUACGGGGUGCAGCAGUGGGGAAUAUUGCACAAUAGGGGGAACCCUGAUGCAGCGACGCCGCGUGAGUGAAGAAGUAUGUCGGUAUGUAAAGCUCUAUCAGCAGGAACGAGACAAGACGGUACCUGACUAAGAAGCCCCGGCUAACUACGUGCCAGCAGCCGCGGUAAUACGUAGGGGGCAAGCGUUAUCCGGAAUCACUGGGUGUAAAGGGAGCGUAGACGGCUGAGCAAGCCUGAAGUGAAAGGCGGGGGCCCAACCCCCGGACUGCUUUGGGAACUGUACGGCUGGAGUGCAGGAGCGGUAAGUGGAAUUCAUGGUGUAGCGGUGAAAUGUGUAGAUAUUAGAAAGAACACCAGUGGCGAAGGCGGCUUACUGAACUGUAACUGACGUUGAGGCUCGAAAGCGUGGGGAGCAAACAGGAUUAGAUACCCCAGUAGUC